GUCAGGACGAACGCUGGCGGCGUGCCUAAUACAUGCAAGUCGAGCGGACCGACGGGAGCUUGCUCCCUUAGGUCAGCGGCGGACGGGUGAGUAACACGUGGGUAACCUGCCUGUAAGACUGGGAUAACUCCGGGAAACCGGGGCUAAUACCGGAUGCUUGAUUGAACCGCAUGGUUCAAUCAUAAAAGGUGGCUUUUAGCUACCACUUACAGAUGGACCCGCGGCGCAUUAGCUAGUUGGUGAGGUAACGGCUCACCAAGGCGACGAUGCGUAGCCGACCUGAGAGGGUGAUCGGCCACACUGGGACUGAGACACGGCCCAGACUCCUACGGGAGGCAGCAGUAGGGAAUCUUCCGCAAUGGACGAAAGUCUGACGGAGCAACGCCGCGUGAGUGAUGAAGGUUUUCGGAUCGUAAAACUCUGUUGUUAGGGAAGAACAAGUACCGUUCGAAUAGGGCGGUACCUUGACGGUACCUAACCAGAAAGCCACGGCUAACUACGUGCCAGCAGCCGCGGUAAUACGUAGGUGGCAAGCGUUGUCCGGAAUUAUUGGGCGUAAAGCGCGCGCAGGCGGUUUCUUAAGUCUGAUGUGAAAGCCCCCGGCUCAACCGGGGAGGGUCAUUGGAAACUGGGGAACUUGAGUGCAGAAGAGGAGAGUGGAAUUCCACGUGUAGCGGUGAAAUGCGUAGAGAUGUGGAGGAACACCAGUGGCGAAGGCGACUCUCUGGUCUGUAACUGACGCUGAGGCGCGAAAGCGUGGGGAGCGAACAGGAUUAGAUACCCUGGUAGUCCACGCCGUAAACGAUGAGUGCUAAGUGUUAGAGGGUUUCCGCCCUUUAGUGCUGCAGCAAACGCAUUAAGCACUCCGCUGGGGAGACGGUCGCAGAUGACCAG
This 894-nucleotide ribosomal RNA is filed under the name bacterium 122. RNAcentral describes it as "bacterial SSU rRNA". It matches the Rfam family "Bacterial small subunit ribosomal RNA", at positions 23 to 873 of the family's 1533-position model. The record is from RNAcentral.